GCCAUGAGGUGAAACUAGGGCCCAGGAGCCGCCGGCCCCUCAUGGGACAGACUGUACGGCCCAGGCUCCUCCGGGCCUGGCCAGCGUGGUUAUUUAUAAGCCCUGGCUGCCUCCAGUGUGCCUGGAUCAGACUGGCUUGUUUGGGUCACCGGUGCCAAGUUUUUUCUUUCUUUUUCUUUUUUUCCAAUAAGAAUCUACGUCUGAGCAUGGACGGAAUCCCAGAAUCAAAUCACUGGAUCAAUACUUGGUCACCAAACACAUUCGAGACCUCAAAAGCUCAAAGGCUGUAGGGUAGGUACCCUUGCUACCUACUCUACCUACAGACAAAGACGCUGAGAAAUCAGAUAACUUGUCCAAGGUCAUGGACAGCUGGGACUAGACCCAUGGCUUGUCACACUCUACCAGCCUUAUUCUUAACCUCUCUGCCUGAUGCCUCUUGACCCACAUUCGACUUUGAAAAAGUUUUCGCACUUGGUUCAUCGGAAAAAGCCACACACAGCUGCCCGGAGGACUCUGUUAAUCAGUAGCUGGUUGCUUCUGGCCCAGUGGGCAACAUCAGAGGCAGAAAGUACAGUACAGAGAGAACCGCAGGCCAGCAGUUGCAUCUGAACCCACGCUCUUCCUCCCAGCCCUUUCCCUUGUCUUGACUCACAACCUAGUGUCCUCAGUAUCGCCCAGCACGUGAGGCAGCCGGUUCACUCCAGCCUUGACCAGGGCCAUCGCGGGAUCAGAGCCUCCUCUGUGAGAAUUAGAAAACAGUAUCUCUUCCUCAAGACCCUUGACUGCUAGGAAAUUGACACCAAAAACAUACAAAUCUACAAUGUCCAGUAUGUAGGUGAUGUGAAUGGCUGUCUCUUCAGUGUGCAGUGUGUACACCCUGCGCACCUAUACAAGGCAGCCCUGUCCAGGCCUCCAGACGUCCCAGUGCCACUGCCUGCUGUCAUGGGGUUCUAAUCUAAAGGGUGAGAUGCCAGUCCCGGGAGAAGGCUAAUGAUGAAAGGUUCCAGGAUAAAGGUUAAUAUACAAAAGUCAAUUACUUUCCUAAUGCCAGCAAUAAAGUGGAAUUUGAAAGUAAAAACA
This 1080-nucleotide long non-coding RNA is filed under the name Homo sapiens (human). RNAcentral describes it as "HSALNT0290205". The record is from RNAcentral. Lineage: Eukaryota; Metazoa; Chordata; Mammalia; Primates; Hominidae.